ACUUAAAUAGUUUAAUAUAAAACAUUGAUUUGUGAUAUCAAAAAUAUGAGUCAUCAUUUUAGGUC
Molecule: transfer RNA, 65 nt
Filed under: Panorpa dispergens
Lineage: Eukaryota; Metazoa; Arthropoda; Insecta; Mecoptera; Panorpidae
Description: tRNA-His
Rfam family: tRNA
About the family: Transfer RNA (tRNA) molecules are approximately 80 nucleotides in length. Their secondary structure includes four short double-helical elements and three loops (D, anti-codon, and T loops).
Source: RNAcentral